This 253-nucleotide ribosomal RNA is filed under the name uncultured bacterium. RNAcentral's name for it is "partial 16S ribosomal RNA". It matches the Rfam family "Bacterial small subunit ribosomal RNA", at positions 524 to 776 of the family's 1533-position model. The record is from RNAcentral.
UACGAAGGGGGCUAGCGUUGCUCGGAAUGACUGGGCGUAAAGGGCGCGUAGGCGGAUGGUACAGUCAGAUGUGAAAUUCCCGGGCUCAACCUGGGGGCUGCAUUUGAUACGUGCUGUCUUGAGUUCGGAAGAGGGUCGUGGAAUUCCCAGUGUAGAGGUGAAAUUCGUAGAUAUUGGGAAGAACACCGGUGGCGAAGGCGGCGACCUGGUCCAAGACUGACGCUGAGGCGCGAAAGCGUGGGGAGCGAACAGG